AUCGCUUCUCAGCCUUUUGGCUAAGAUCAAGUUUAGUAUCUGUUCUUACAAAAAAUGUCUAAAAGGCAGGAGGGGGCCAUAUGGUAAUAGUAAUUUAACCGUAAACAAAAC
This 111-nucleotide small nuclear RNA is filed under the name Echinops telfairi (small Madagascar hedgehog). RNAcentral's name for it is "U2 spliceosomal RNA (ENSETEG00000025235.1)". It matches the Rfam family "U2 spliceosomal RNA". From Rfam's summary of the family: U2 is a small nuclear RNA (snRNA) component of the spliceosome (involved in pre-mRNA splicing). The record is from RNAcentral. Lineage: Eukaryota; Metazoa; Chordata; Mammalia; Afrosoricida; Tenrecidae.